AUUGAACGCUGGCGGCAUGCUUUACACAUGCAAGUCGAACGGCAGCGCGGGCUUCGGCCUGGCGGCGAGUGGCGAACGGGUGAGUAAUGCAUCGGAACGUGCCCAGUAGUGGGGGAUAGCCCGGCGAAAGCCGGAUUAAUACCGCAUACGACCUGAGGGUGAAAGCGGGGGACCGAAAGGCCUCGCGCUAUUGGAGCGGCCGAUGUCGGAUUAGCUAGUUGGUGGGGUAAAGGCUUACCAAGGCGACGAUCCGUAGCUGGUCUGAGAGGACGACCAGCCACACUGGGACUGAGACACGGCCCAGACUCCUACGGGAGGCAGCAGUGGGGAAUUUUGGACAAUGGGGGCAACCCUGAUCCAGCCAUGCCGCGUGCGAGAAGAAGGCCUUCGGGUUGUAAACCGCUUUUGUUCGGGAAGAAAUCCUCUGGGCUAAUACCCCGGGGGGAUGACGGUACCGGAAGAAUAGGCACCGGCUAACUACGUG
RNAcentral lists this ribosomal RNA (484 nucleotides) under uncultured bacterium. RNAcentral's name for it is "partial 16S ribosomal RNA". It matches the Rfam family "Bacterial small subunit ribosomal RNA", at positions 28 to 507 of the family's 1533-position model. The record is from RNAcentral.